This 679-nucleotide ribosomal RNA is filed under the name Ochromonas sp. CCMP1393. RNAcentral's name for it is "partial Bacterial small subunit ribosomal RNA". It matches the Rfam family "Bacterial small subunit ribosomal RNA", at positions 35 to 760 of the family's 1533-position model. Lineage: Eukaryota; Chrysophyceae; Chromulinales; Chromulinaceae. The record is from RNAcentral.
GCUGGCGGCAGGCCUAACACAUGCAAGUCGAACGGCACCUUCGGGUGUAGUGGCGGACGGGUUAGUAACGCGUGGGAACGUGCCCUUCUCUACGGAAUAGCCUCGGGAAACUGGGUUUAAUACCGUAUACGCCCUUCGGGGGAAAGAUUUAUCGGAGAAGGAUCGGCCCGCGUAAGAUUAGAUAGUUGGUGGGGUAAUGGCCUACCAAGUCUACGAUCUUUAGCUGGUUUGAGAGGAUGAUCAGCAACACUGGGACUGAGACACGGCCCAGACUCCUACGGGAGGCAGCAGUGGGGAAUAUUGGACAAUGGGCGCAAGCCUGAUCCAGCCAUGCCGCGUGAGUGAUGAAGGCCUUAGGGUCGUAAAGCUCUUUCGCCUGUGAAGAUAAUGACGGUAGCAGGUAAAGAAACCCCGGCUAACUCCGUGCCAGCAGCCGCGGUAAUACGGAGGGGGCUAGCGUUGUUCGGAAUUACUGGGCGUAAAGAGUGCGUAGGUGGUUUAGUAAGUUGGAAGUGAAAGCCCGGGGCUUAACCUCGGAAUUGCUUUCAAAACUACUAAUCUAGAGUGUAGUAGGGGAUGAUGGAAUUCCUAGUGUAGAGGUGAAAUUCGUAGAUAUCAGGAGGAACACCAGUGGCGAAAGCGGCUUACUGGCCCGAUAUUGACGCUCAUGUACGAAAGC